GAUGAACGCUGGCGGCGUGCCUAAUACAUGCAAGUCGAGCGAACAGAUGAGGAGCUUGCUCCUCUGACGUUAGCGGCGGACGGGUGAGUAACACGUGGAUAACCUACCUAUAAGACUGGGAUAACUUCGGGAAACCGGAGCUAAUACCGGAUAAUAUAUUGAACCGCAUGGUUCAAUAGUGAAAGACGGUUUUGCUGUCACUUAUAGAUGGAUCCGCGCCGCAUUAGCUAGUUGGUAAGGUAACGGCUUACCAAGGCAACGAUGCGUAGCCGACCUGAGAGGGUGUACGGCCACACUGGAACUGAGACACGGUCCAGACUCCUACGGGAGGCAGCAGUAGGGAAUCUUCCGCAAUGGGCGAAAGCCUGACGGAGCAACGCCGCGUGAGUGAUGAAGGUCUUCGGAUCGUAAAACUCUGUUAUUAGGGAAGAACAAAUGUGUAAGUAACUAUGCACGUCUUGACGGUACCUAAUCAGAAAGCCACGGCUAACUACGUG
This 497-nucleotide ribosomal RNA is filed under the name uncultured bacterium. RNAcentral's name for it is "partial 16S ribosomal RNA". It matches the Rfam family "Bacterial small subunit ribosomal RNA", at positions 28 to 507 of the family's 1533-position model. The record is from RNAcentral.